UUUGAGUUAGCUUUUCAUGUUCUUCAUUUAUCAGUUUAACAUUUUAUCAUCUGCAUUAACAUUUGUCAUCAUCUAGCUUCUUGGAUAUUGUCAGCAAGUUUAAAUGUAGACAGUUCUAGGAUCGUAAUAGGUCCUUAUGCAUACCAUUUUGAUUACAAAUUACGUUAUCUAUGUGCAUUACCAUUACUUCUAACAUUGGUCACUGCUCUAAAAUGCUUUUUAACAAUUUGUGUGCAACCUUUAUGCUGAAAUUUUAUUCCAAAUAUCCCCAAUUACUAUUUUUUUACCCU
This 290-nucleotide long non-coding RNA is filed under the name Elaeis guineensis (African oil palm). RNAcentral describes it as "long non-coding RNA (EGUI_LNC041119)". The record is from RNAcentral. Lineage: Eukaryota; Viridiplantae; Streptophyta; Magnoliopsida; Arecales; Arecaceae.